GAUGAACGCUGGCGGCGUGCCUAAUACAUGCAAGUCGAACGCAUAGCGAAAGGUGCUUGCACCUUUCAAGUGAGUGGCGAACGGGUGAGUAACACGGGGACAACCUGCCUCAAGGCUGGGGAUAACAUUUGGAAACAGAUGCUAAUACCGAAUAAAACUUAGUGUCGCAUGACACAAAGUUAAAAGGCGCUUCGGCGUCACCUAGAGAUGGAUCCGCGGUGCAUUAGUUAGUUGGUGGGGUAAAGGCCUACCAAGACAAUGAUGCAUAGCCGAGUUGAGAGACUGAUCGGCCACAUUGGGACUGAGACACGGCCCAAACUCCUACGGGAGGCUGCAGUAGGGAAUCUUCCACAAUGGGCGAAAGCCUGAUGGAGCAACGCCGCGUGAGUGAUGAAGGAUUUCGGGUCGUAAAGCACUGUUGUAUGGGAAGAACAGAUAGAAUAGGAAAUGAUUUUAGUUUGACGGUACCAUACCAGAAAGAGACGGCUAAAUACGUG
This 497-nucleotide ribosomal RNA is filed under the name uncultured bacterium. Its description in RNAcentral is "partial 16S ribosomal RNA". It matches the Rfam family "Bacterial small subunit ribosomal RNA", at positions 28 to 507 of the family's 1533-position model. The record is from RNAcentral.